RNAcentral lists this transfer RNA (71 nucleotides) under Erinaceus europaeus (western European hedgehog). It matches the Rfam family "tRNA". From Rfam's summary of the family: Transfer RNA (tRNA) molecules are approximately 80 nucleotides in length. Their secondary structure includes four short double-helical elements and three loops (D, anti-codon, and T loops). The record is from Rfam by way of RNAcentral. Lineage: Eukaryota; Metazoa; Chordata; Mammalia; Eulipotyphla; Erinaceidae.
ACAUGGGUGGAUCAGUGGUAGAAUUCUUUCCUGCCAUGCGGGAGGCCCAGGUUCAAUUCCCGGCUCAUGCA